AAAUUGAAGAGUUUGAUCAUGGCUCAGAUUGAACGCUGGCGGCAGGCCUAACACAUGCAAGUCGAACGGUAACAGGAAGCAGCUUUCUGCUUCGCUGACGAGUGGCGGACGGGUGAGUAAUGUCUGGGAAACUGCCUGAUGGAGGGGGAUAACUACUGGAAACGGUGGCUAAUACCGCAUAACGUCGCAAGACCAAAGAGGGGGACCUUCGGGCCUCUUGCCAUCAGAUGUGCCCAGAUGGGAUUAGCUUGUUGGUGAGGUAACGGCUCACCAAGGCGACGAUCCCUAGCUGGUCUGAGAGGAUGACCAGCCACACUGGAACUGAGACACGGUCCAGACUCCUACGGGAGGCAGCAGUGGGGAAUAUUGCACAAUGGGCGCAAGCCUGAUGCAGCCAUGCCGCGUGUAUGAAGAAGGCCUUCGGGUUGUAAAGUACUUUCAGCGGGGAGGAAGGUGUUGUGGUUAAUAACCGCAGCAAUUGACGUUACCCGCAGAAGAAGCACCGGCUAACUCCGUGCCAGCAGCCGCGGUAAUACGGAGGGUGCAAGCGUUAAUCGGAAUUACUGGGCGUAAAGCGCACGCAGGCGGUCUGUCAAGUCGGAUGUGAAAUCCCCGGGCUCAACCUGGGAACUGCAUUCGAAACUGGCAGGCUUGAGUCUUGUAGAGGGGGGUAGAAUUCCAGGUGUAGCGGUGAAAUGCGUAGAGAUCUGGAGGAAUACCGGUGGCGAAGGCGGCCCCCUGGACAAAGACUGACGCUCAGGUGCGAAAGCGUGGGGAGCAAACAGGAUUAGAUACCCUGGUAGUCCACGCCGUAAACGAUGUCUACUUGGAGGUUGUGCCCUUGAGGCGUGGCUUCCGGAGCUAACGCGUUAAGUAGACCGCCUGGGGAGUACGGCCGCAAGGUUAAAACUCAAAUGAAUUGACGGGGGCCCGCACAAGCGGUGGAGCAUGUGGUUUAAUUCGAUGCAACGCGAAGAACCUUACCUGGUCUUGACAUCCACGGAAGUUUUCAGAGAUGAGAAUGUGCCUUCGGGAACCGUGAGACAGGUGCUGCAUGGCUGUCGUCAGCUCGUGUUGUGAAAUGUUGGGUUAAGUCCCGCAACGAGCGCAACCCUUAUCCUUUGUUGCCAGCGAUUAGGUCGGGAACUCAAAGGAGACUGCCAGUGAUAAACUGGAGGAAGGUGGGGAUGACGUCAAGUCAUCAUGGCCCUUACGACCAGGGCUACACACGUGCUACAAUGGCGCAUACAAAGAGAAGCGACCUCGCGAGAGCAAGCGGACCUCAUAAAGUGCGUCGUAGUCCGGAUUGGAGUCUGCAACUCGACUCCAUGAAGUCGGAAUCGCUAGUAAUCGUGGAUCAGAAUGCCACGGUGAAUACGUUCCCGGGCCUUGUACACACCGCCCGUCACACCAUGGGAGUGGGUUGCAAAAGAAGUAGGUAGCUUAACCUUCGGGAGGGCGCUUACCACUUUGUGAUUCAUGACUGGGGUGAAGUCGUAACAAGGUAACCGUAGGGGAACCUGCGGUUGGAUCACCUCCUUACCUUAAAGAA
RNAcentral lists this ribosomal RNA (1552 nucleotides) under Salmonella enterica subsp. enterica serovar Abony. Its description in RNAcentral is "bacterial SSU rRNA". It matches the Rfam family "Bacterial small subunit ribosomal RNA". Lineage: Bacteria; Pseudomonadati; Pseudomonadota; Gammaproteobacteria; Enterobacterales; Enterobacteriaceae. The record is from RNAcentral.